RNAcentral lists this ribosomal RNA (253 nucleotides) under uncultured bacterium. Its description in RNAcentral is "partial 16S ribosomal RNA". It matches the Rfam family "Bacterial small subunit ribosomal RNA", at positions 524 to 776 of the family's 1533-position model. The record is from RNAcentral.
UACGGGGGGGGCAAGCGUUGUUCGGAAUUACUGGGCGUAAAGGGCUCGUAGGUGGCCAACUAAGUCGGACGUGAAAUCCCUCGGCUUAACCGGGGAACUGCGUCCGAUACUGGUUGGCUUGAGUUUGGGAGAGGGAUGUGGAAUUCCAGGUGUAGCGGUGAAAUGCGUAGAUAUCUGGAGGAACACCGGUGGCGAAGGCGGCAUCCUGGACCGACAUUGACGCUGAGGCGCGAAAGCCAGGGGAGCAAACGGG